Long non-coding RNA from Zonotrichia leucophrys gambelii, 883 nucleotides. RefSeq lists it as uncharacterized. The transcript has 6 exons. Lineage: Eukaryota; Metazoa; Chordata; Aves; Passeriformes; Passerellidae. The record is from RefSeq and is a predicted model, not a curated record.
UUUGCUUGCUCUCUUUUUCUGCUCUUGCUUCUGCUCUGCUUUCUGCCUCUGCUUAUUAGCUAGUUUAGCUAAACAGUCCACAUUGCUUCCUGGACUGUUUCUCCUCUCCUGUUCCUGUGACCAUCUCGAACCUGCUCCGGACUGGGACCCAGGAACACCAAGGGUUCGGCUGCAGCAGCUGGCCCAGCGCCGGAGGGACUGAGAACAGAGCAACCACCCCCGAAAGAGACUUUCUGAUUUUGCCAUCUUUCUCAAAGCGGUGUCAUCGGACCUCUGGCCCCACAUGCUCAGCAGAGAAGAAGCCAACCUUGCUCACUCCCCUGCCAGGCAUCCCAGGCCCACCACACAAAUUGUGGAGUGCACAAACCUUCCUCUGUGCUUCAGACCCGAGCCAGAUAUUCUGAUAACUGGUGCUGAGGAAGAAGAUUAAGACUGUUUUUAGCACUGAAGGCUGCAGGACAUAUGGAUGCUGCAGACCUGUUAGUGACAGACAGAAAGUUGUUUGGAGGCAACAGGACAGAUUGUCUGGGAUUCCUGGCUGAGUCCCAAGGAAAGGCUGAUGAGGAGGAGGUGAGAGGAGAAGCAAAGGACCGAAUUCUUCUGCAGAAGAAAAGAAGCAGAAAAGGGAUCUGCAAGCAGAGACAAUGCUGCUCCUGUCAAGGGCAUGUGCUGUCUGGUCAGGGCACAGCCAUGAUUCCCUCUGUUCUGCACUCCAAACAUCUCAGCUGUCCCCUCAAUCCUGAUGGGAAUUUCCUUCAACUCCAGACUCCAGGACUUCGUUAAAAACCCAACUUUAUUCCCAGAAUGUCUGCAGAUUUUAAAGAAGAAAGAAAACCAGAAGGCAAAUGUUCUCCCAGGGAGCAGCUGAGCUCUAAGGUUCAAG